CACGUAGGGUGCGAGCGUUGUCCGGAAUUAUUGGGCGUAAAGAGCUCGUAGGCGGUGUGUCGCGUCGGCCGUGAAAACCUGCAGCUUAACUGUGGGCUUGCGGUCGAUACGGGCAUCACUGGAGUUCGGCAGGGGAGACUGGAAUUCCUGGUGUAGCGGUGAAAUGCGCAGAUAUCAGGAGGAACACCGGUGGCGGAGGCGGGUCGCUGGGCCGAUACUGACGCUGAGGAGCGAAAGCGUGGGGAGCGAACAGG
RNAcentral lists this ribosomal RNA (254 nucleotides) under uncultured bacterium. Its description in RNAcentral is "partial 16S ribosomal RNA". It matches the Rfam family "Bacterial small subunit ribosomal RNA", at positions 524 to 776 of the family's 1533-position model. The record is from RNAcentral.